UGUCGAAGUUGCGGGGAUGUAGUUCGUCGUAGAUUCCUGUCACAUCCUGCGAAACCUAGUGACUUGCAAUUCCAUGUUCCAAGUUUCCAAUCGUAGUCCUUAUUUCGUCGCGUGGGUCUUUGCCGAUUGUAUCGAGUCGUAUUUUCUCCUAUGUUAUUCGCAAUGGGGAUUUUUACGGGUGGCUUAUUGGGCCUACGCCAACACUCCUGUCUCGCCGGAGGGCCAUCGUGCCAGUUCUGUUUAACGUCCCAACCAACACUGGGACGACCACGCUGAUGGGGCUACCACCUUGGAUCUAGCUGGGCGUGGUGCAGCGUUUCUUACUCAGCCGCUGGAUGCCAGAACAGACGCUGUUUGAGCCGCACCUCCUUGGUGAACAGACACUCGGAUCGUACCUCCUCAAUCUAGCUGAAGUCAGAAGGACAACAGUGCCCAGACUGCACUACCAGCUAAGCACACAACUCUUAGCUGGCGGUCUUUGUCAUCGCUUGACCCGUGGAAGCAUGAGGUAGGAACUUGUGAGGACCAGAGCUAUAUUGGACGCUCUCCUUAUCGACUCACCGUUUUGCAGCCCUUGGGCUAACCAAGCAGAGUGGAAAUUACAGUUGUGGGUUGCGCUACGUGAGUGCCCGUCGAGCCCCUUAUGCCCAAUGUAACCGACGCUGAACAACAGCUACCUACCCGUAGCUGGGCCCGCAAAUAGUAGGAAUGACAACAAGAGAGGAACAAUUGAACAUUGAGGCACAAUAGCUAGAUAGAUACAUCCUAUGCGAACGCGUGUUGUAUGAUUAUUAGCAAAUUGUAAAUUUAGUAUCAACAUUUAUAUCUAUUUGGAGUAAAAAGUGUUAAACUUGAAUUAUAUUAGAUAACACAAUCGUAGGUAACAAGUGACAUAGGAUAAACUUAGUGAAUUCGAUAAAUCCAUAUUUUUCCCAUUCUAUGUCGCAGCUAGAUUGAGCCACUUCCUCUUAUUCUUGCCUUCUUGUCCUUGUUGAACUCGAAGCUCAAACACCUACUAUAGAGCUGUGAAUGGUGAGAUAGAAUCAUGUAGUUUGUAACUUUAAACUAAUGAAUACCCUUCAAUCUAGUUCCUUACUGAACGAUUAAGCCCUUCGUUCAUGACACAAUAAGAUUUGUGUGCAAUUAGAUUGCUAGUUAAUCUAUGACAGGUAAGCCGUGUCAUAAGUACAGUCGGAUUGAAAUGCCUAAUGCUAUAUGCUCCUAGAUUAGCAGACUAAACCGUUAGACCGAAGAGGCCCAUACCCAAACCGACUGCGAUAUUGUUGUGUGGUAGCAAACACUACAGUAAGUUAGAAUGUUAAUGUUAAGUAUAAGUAAAAGUUCUAAUGUUUCGCCUUUUUAGGAAUUUUGUAAUUCUCUGCAAUCGAUCAAUAAAUUCACAAAAUUCAUUACGCACUACCACCCAACAUCUUACAAAAUUCUGUAAGACAUGUCCAAAAAGGCAUCUCCGACUGGAUCUGGAUUACACCCCGCUAUAGAAUCAAGAAACCACCUCUUCUUAGCUGGCGCCAGUGGUAGCGCACCUGGAACUCAAGGGAAUCCUCUCACCAACGAUGCUGUGGUCACCGAAUUCAGUAAUUUGGCCAUCGUGAACAACGCAGUACGCGAAGCGAAUGGAUCAGGACAAUCGGUGACGAGCUCAAGAGGCAACGCAGCUAUGGUAACAGGAGUGCCUUUCCCCCCUUCUCAGGUAACUGCUGAUGGUGGUAAUAGCAUAAGGGUCCAACACAUGGGAGCCAAACGUAAGGUAAAGUCAAGUGCUACAAUCGCGAAUUAUCCGGUCCAAUCUGUAACCAUGGUCGCGCGCGAAAAUGCCAAUCUGCGCGUACGAAUAACUCGAUUUAGUCAUUGUGAGAUGUGCAACGAACGUGAUACCAGCAGCAUGGUGCAGUGCGAUGGCUGCGAUUUGUGGUAUCAUUUCUCUUGUGUGGAAGUGACUAGUGGGAUUGCAGAUCGUAGUUGGGUCUGCCCGGCGCGCGACAAGCCCGAUGUCGACCCGCGAAACAUCAACGAAACACCACUGCAUGAACCACCGAAGACCGCUCCGGUUGAUCCACCAGUAUUGCCGGUGAACACCAGGAAGUCUACCGGUAAGGCAAGCAGCAAUCGUAGUAAUCAACGGAAGGUCGCCUUGCGGCUACAAAUGUUGGAGGAGCAAAAGCAGCUGGAGCAGAAGUUCCUUGAAGAAAAGUACCGAAUUCUAGACGAGGAGUGCGUCGAUGACGAAACCGUGGUUAGCGAAGAUGAUGUGCGGUCAAUGGAUAUGUCGAAAGUUCAAGGAUGGCUGGAUGAUACCAGCAAAUGCGGCGAAGAGGACUCAGGAUUGGUCGAGGAAGAUGGCGCACCCGAAGUACAAGCGCUUCGGCAGUCAACGUAUGCUGAAUUCAACGGACCGCGUCCAACGUUACAAGGAUUCAAUCCUCAUCAGCGAUCAACACCUCGGCAACCGGUCAGAUUCCUUGAGUUGCCGAAGCCUCUAGCACCGGUACCCGCUUCCGAGAGUAUGUUCUACCAACCAUCCGUACAACUUCCGGAGAAUACAUUUCGCCAACCGUCAUCAAAUGUGGUCUCCAACGUCCACUGCCAUCGACCGGGAGCAGCAGUCCAGUUCUACCAAGCUCUCGACCACCAGUCUUCACAACAGCAUGCAGGUCAAAUUCCCGCAGGAUACCCGACACGACGGGGACCAACAACUGCUCCAGUAAAUGAGUUUCAAUCUACAGCUGAUGGGAAUCGAAUGCGUCAAAUCGAUCCAACAUUUCGCUUCUCUCGACACCCCGAAUGCGGUCCGCGUGACGUCGAAGAAAACGUAUGCGUACUCAACCGUAGUCAGUUGGCAGCACGCCAAGCCGUUUCGAAGGAGUUGCCAGAGUUUUAUGGAAAUCCGGAGGAUUGGCCGUUGUUUUUCUCCAUGUACAACUCUUCGACGCAAAUGUGUGGGUUUUCCAAUGAGGAAAAUAUGCUUCGACUCCGGAAAUGCCUGAAGGGAAAAGCGCUUGAAGCCGUACGGUGUCGAUUGCUGCAUCCGUCCAUUGUGAGCAGUGUAAUUUCCACCUUGAAAAUGUUAUACGGCAGGCCGGAAGCUAUCGUUCAAGCAGCCAUAAGGAAAAUCAGGUCAUUGCCAUCACCGCAAGUAGAGAAGCUCGACACUGUGGUAAACUUCGCAUUAACGGUCGAAAACUUGGUCGCCACAAUUGAGGCAUGCGGAAUUGAGGACUUUGUAUACAACGCGUCCUUGAAAAUGGAACUGGUGGAUCGUCUUCCUCCGGCAUUGAAGUUGGAUUGGGCGAAACACUCUCGACAUAACCCAGCACCCAACCUUUUGGACUUCAGUGGAUGGCUGUAUUCGAUUGCUGAGGAUGCCAGUGCAGUUAUGCAGACUUCGAUAAGCGGUGGAAGAGGCCGUGGAUCCAAGAGCGAUGGAUUUGUAAACCUUCAUUCUGAAACGGAGAUUGAACGCACGAGGACAUCACACGACAAGCAAAGAGAGCCUCCGACUUUUCAAGACUGUGUUUCAUGCAAAGGCAGCUGUACGUCAGUUGCCAAAUGUAAACGGUUUGCAGAGCUGAGCUUAGAUGCAAAGUGGGCCGUUGUUCGAGACGCAAAACUGUGCCGUAAAUGCUUGCGGAAGCACAAUGGAUCCUGCAGGCAACAGAAACCUUGCGGAGUUAAAGGAUGUACAUUUCUGCAUCAUCCGUUGUUGCAUAACAAGUUGCAGGAAACUGAAAAGGAUCGAUCUGAUCGAGUACUAGUAACUACUACCGGGAGCUGCAACGUUCAUCAAGUUCAAACCAGCGAGGUUCUUUUCCGGAUUGUUCCUGUACUGCUAUAUGGACCUUCGAAGGUAGUCCAGACGUAUGCCUUUAUCGACGAUGGUUCAGAACUGACGCUAAUGGAGGACAGUUUGGCAGAGGAACUUGGAGUUGAAGGCCCUCGUACAUCGUUAUGUUUAAAGUGGACCGGAGGCACCAAGAGAAUGGAAACCGACUCGCAAAUAGUUGAGGUGGGGAUCUCAUCCACCGAAAAAAUGAAGAAACCACACAGGAUGACCAAUAUACACACUAUUCAGAGUCUACAGCUUCGCCCUCAGACGUUAAUCCUGUCCGAGCUACUGCAACGUUUCCAGCACCUGAAAGGAUUGCCAAUCGCAUCUUAUACGAACGUGUGCCCGCGUAUCCUGAUUGGCCUAGACAAUGCUUCUCUAGGACAUGCACUGAAAGGUCGAGAAGGGAAACCGUACGAACCAAUCGCUGUCAAGACCCGUUUAGGUUGGAUAGUUUAUGGUAGUUUUUCACGUGCACAGCAAGAUGUAAGCUACGUGAACGUGCACACAAUCGAGGUAUGCGAGUGCAACAGUAUGUCUGAUGACAAUCUCCAUGCUGCGGUGAAAGACUACUUCGCCCUGGACAGCCUCGGAAUAGCGAAACCUAGUAAGAUUCUACAAUCAACGGAAGACGAGCGAGCAAUAGACAUCCUGGAAACGCAGACGAAUCAAAAGGAGCGGCGGUACGAAUCCGGAUUGCUUUGGAAGUAUGAUGACGUCCGCUUCCCAAACAGUAAAGGAAUGGCCUACAGAAGAUGGCAGUGUUUGGAUCGACGUAUGCAACGUGACAAAACUUUUUCGGAUACAGUAAGAACGAAAAUGGCCGACUAUAUGAGUAAAGGAUACGUUCGAAGGUUGACGGAUGAUGAGAUAAACGCACGACAAUCCCGGGAGUGGUAUUUACCCAUAUUCCCGGUAAUAAAUCCCAACAAACCGGGAAAAGUGAGACUGGUGUGGGAUGCAGCUGCCGCCGCAUAUGGCGUUUCUUUAAAUUCACUUUUACUCAAGGGCCCGGAUCUUUUGACGUCACUUCUCACCGUUCUCUUGCAGUUUCGACAAUUCCGAAUUGCUGUUUGCGGAGAUAUUCGGGAGAUGUAUCUGCAGAUUCUGCUUAAACAGGACGUUCGUUUGUGCUUCUUCUGGAAGGACAGUGAUGAGGAUGAUAACCCUAGUGUCUACACUAUGUUGGUUUUGCCGUUUGGGGUGUCCUGCGCUCCAAGUAUUGCGCAAUACGUCAAAAAUACAAACGCUAAACGAUUCGCCGAAGAGCAUCCUACGGCUGUCCAUGCUAUAGUCGACCAACAUUACGUGGAUGAUAUGCUCGUAAGUGUGGAAGGCGAGCAAGAAGCGAUCGACCUAGCGAAAAACGUAAGGAGCAUCCAUGCCGAAGCGGGCUUCGAAAUGAGAAACUGGAUCUCUAACUGCCCGCGAGUUUUAGAAGCUCUAGAAGAACAACAAACAGAGGAGAAAGAUCUCAACAUAACCGAGGGCCUGACGACUGAAAAAGUCCUUGGCAUGUGGUGGAAUACGUCUAUCGACUGCUUCGUAUUUAAGAUCUCACCACGAUACGAUCCAGAAUUGAUGUCUGGACAGCGACGGCCUACGAAACGCGAAGUAUUGCGAACGCUUAUGAUGAUUUUCGAUCCCUUAGGGCUAAUUGGUCAUUUUCUGAUGUUCCUGAAAACGGUAUUGCAGGAGAUCUGGCGCACCUCUGUUGGUUGGGAUGAAGUCAUCGAAGAAAAACAGUUUGAAAUGUGGAUGCAGUGGCUCAAUGUUCUCCCAGACGUUGCCAAAGUAGAAAUACCACGAUGCUACAGGACCUCCACAUCGAUAGAAAGCUCGAACGAAGUACAAUUGCAUGUUUUUGUCGACGCUAGUGAGAAAGGGUUUGCUGCGGUAGCGUAUCUUCGAUUCCAGGAAGGACACACAAUCGAAACAGCAUUGGUUGGCUCAAAGACUCGUGUUGCGCCGAUAAAAUUCUUAUCAAUCCCUCGUUCGGAACUCCAAGCUUGCGUCAUCGGAGUGAGAUUUGCAAACAGCAUAAUACAAUCACUCACUGUGAAGGUCAACCGACGUUACUUUUGGACUGAUUCUAGCGACGUUAUCAGCUGGAUUCAAUCUGAUCAUCGUCGGUAUAGUCAAUUUGUCGCUUUCCGUAUAAGCGAAAUUUUGGAAGCUUCUGAUGUCGGAGAAUGGCAAUGGAUUCAGACAAAACAAAACGUCGCCGAUGAAGGAACCAAGUGGGCACGAGUUCCAGAUAUGAGCAAGACAAGCCGUUGGCUAAAUGGACCUGACUUCUUGCGGAAAGUUGAAGCAGAGUGGCCAGUAAAGCGACAAACCGCCGGAGCAACUCUAGAGGAGUUACGACCUCAUCUACUUGUACAUACAGUAAUGCCUGAACCUGUUAUCAAUACCGAAAAAUUCUCUAAAUGGACCGAACUUCUACGCAGCAUGGCCUACGUCUUCCGUUUUACUCGGAAUGCAAGGAUUUCUAAGCAGGACAGAAGCUUUGGGCCGUUAACAACUGAAGAGUUGAGUUUAAGUGAAAACUACUUCUAUCGACUUGCCCAACGAAGCGCUUACGCGGACGAAGUGGCAGUUCUACUAGACAGAAGGACGACGAAAACCUCUAAGUUGAUUUCCAAAAGCAGCUCAAUCUACCAUCUUUGCCCGUUCCUCGGUAAGGAUGACUUGCUUCGCGUGCGGGGCAGGACUGCAGCAUGCCCGUUCAUCACCCAGGAGGCUAUCAACCCCAUCAUCCUUCCGAAAGCUCACCAUGUUACUGCUUUGGUUGUCUCCUACUAUCAUAACAAAUACCAUCAUCAAAACCAUAACGUCACUAUCAACGAAUUGCGGCAAAAAUACAGCAUUCCUCAAUUGAAAGCAAUGUACAAUAAGAUCCGUCGAGACUGCCAGCGGUGCAAAAACGACUGUGCACAACCACAACCACCAGCCAUGGGGGACUUGCCCCUGUCCCGUCUAGCUGCCUACGCUCGCCCUUUUACGUAUAUGGGGGUUGACUACUUCGGUCCCUAUGUAAUCAACCUCGGACGACGUCUUGAAAAGCGGUGGGUUCUGUUGGCCACUUGCCUUACUACACGCGCUAUUCACCUCCAAAUAGUUCACACCAUGACAACGGAUUCGUGCAUAAUGGCCCUUAGAAACGUUAUGGCCAGAAGAGGGGUACCUUGUGUUAUAUACAGUGACCAUGGAACUAACUUUCAAGGGGCUAGCAAGGAAUUGGAAGAAGCUAUGGAGAACUUGGAUAAAGAGCGAUUUCAGGCGGAGUUCACAACUUCCCAUACGUCUUGGAGAUUCAUACCACCGGCUUCCCCACACAUGGGUGGCGCGUGGGAACGACUCGUGCGGAUCGUUAAACAAAACCUCGUCAAGCUGAAACCUUCAAGAACGAUGUCCCAUGAAGUUCUGGAAAAUCUAUUGACGGAAAUUGAAAACGUGGUCAAUUCACGCCCAAUGACCCAUUUACCUCUGGAUGACGACCAAUCCCCGGUAUUAACUCCCAACCAUUUUUUGCUGGGAUCUAGUAAUGGCCUACGUUCUUGGGUUCCUUUCACCGACAGCACGGAAGUGCUUAAAAACUCCUGGAAACUGUCGCAAGCUUUAGCUAAUCAGUUUUGGAAACAGUGGCUACGCGACUAUCUGCCGUAUAUUACCCGCAGAACUAAAUGGUUCACUAACGUGGACCCUAUCGGGAUCAAUGAUCUCGUUAUCAUCGUAGAUCCUAACCUUCCGCGGAAUACCUGGCCAAAAGGCCGCGUAAUUGGAGUAAAACAAGGACCAGACCAUCAGGUGAGAAGUGCUACAGUACAGACUUCCCGUGGUAUUUACGAACGACCCGCAGUGAAACUCGCCGUGCUGGACGUAGGCGUUCGAAGCAAUGCAGCUCAGGAUGAUCGCAUUCCGAGGGGGAGUGUGGGUUGCGCUACGUGAGUGCCCGUCGAGCCCCUUAUGCCCAAUGUAACCGACGCUGAACAACAGCUACCUACCCGUAGCUGGGCCCGCAAAUAGUAGGAAUGACAACAAGAGAGGAACAAUUGAACAUUGAGGCACAAUAGCUAGAUAGAUACAUCCUAUGCGAACGCGUGUUGUAUGAUUAUUAGCAAAUUGUAAAUUUAGUAUCAACAUUUAUAUCUAUUUGGAGUAAAAAGUGUUAAACUUGAAUUAUAUUAGAUAACACAAUCGUAGGUAACAAGUGACAUAGGAUAAACUUAGUGAAUUCGAUAAAUCCAUAUUUUUCCCAUUCUAUGUCGCAGCUAGAUUGAGCCACUUCCUCUUAUUCUUGCCUUCUUGUCCUUGUUGAACUCGAAGCUCAAACACCUACUAUAGAGCUGUGAAUGGUGAGAUAGAAUCAUGUAGUUUGUAACUUUAAACUAAUGAAUACCCUUCAAUCUAGUUCCUUACUGAACGAUUAAGCCCUUCGUUCAUGACACAAUAAGAUUUGUGUGCAAUUAGAUUGCUAGUUAAUCUAUGACAGAUUAGCAGACUAAACCGUUAGACCGAAGAGGCCCAUACCCAAACCGACUGCGAUAUUGUUGUGUGGUAGCAAACACUACAGUAAGUUAGAAUGUUAAUGUUAAGUAUAAGUAAAAGUUCUAAUGUUUCGCCUUUUUAGGAAUUUUGUAAUUCUCUGCAAUCGAUCAAUAAAUUCACAAAAUUCAUUACGCACUACCACC
RNA transcript from Aedes albopictus (Asian tiger mosquito), 8538 nucleotides. RefSeq lists it as uncharacterized. The record is from RefSeq and is a predicted model, not a curated record. Lineage: Eukaryota; Metazoa; Arthropoda; Insecta; Diptera; Culicidae. The transcript is spliced from 2 exons.